This 468-nucleotide unclassified non-coding RNA is filed under the name Hevea brasiliensis (rubber tree). Lineage: Eukaryota; Viridiplantae; Streptophyta; Magnoliopsida; Malpighiales; Euphorbiaceae. The record is from RNAcentral.
CCAUAAUCUUGAGCAAAUUUGUGGAAGGCCAAUAAUGAUGGUUAGGUUGGGCCAAUUCAUCAUUGCCACAAUUGUACUAUCAAGCUAAAGAAACAACAUGGCUAUGAUAGGCAACCUAAUUUUGACUUCUCAAACAAUUGAUGAGUAGAUAAAAUACCUUAUUCAUUAAGGACUUGGAAGUGGAGGGGGCGUUCGUGAGUCCAAAAGGCAUUAUCAUCAAUUUGAAAUUGCUUAUGCUGGGUUUGGAAAGUCAUUUCAAUGUCAAUGGCCUGCAUUUCGAUUUGGUGGUAACCAGAGUAGAGAUCAAGAUUUGUCAGAUAGUGAGCGCCAAAUAAUUCCUCUAAGAGCUUGUCUGACUGAAAUUGGGAAUUUGUCCUUGAUCUGCUUUGACAUUCAUGAUUCAACACUCUAUAAUCCACACAUGAAUGCCAAAUAUUAUCUGCCUCGGGCACAAUAAGACUGGUCAGG